Molecule: ribosomal RNA, 765 nt
Filed under: uncultured Actinomycetes bacterium
Lineage: Bacteria; Bacillati; Actinomycetota; Actinomycetes
Description: bacterial SSU rRNA
Rfam family: Bacterial small subunit ribosomal RNA
Source: RNAcentral
UUUCUUCGGAAAUGGAUUAGCGGCGAACGGGUGAGGAACACGUGAAGAAUCUGCCCUCCACUUUGGGAUAACACCGGGAAACCGGUGCUAAUACCGAAUAUUGAAACAUAAGUGACAUCACUGAGUUUUGAAAGUUUUUCGGUGGAGGAUGACCUCGCGGCCUAUCAGCUUGUUGGUGAGGUAAUGGCUCACCAAGGCGACGACGGGUAGCCGGCCUGAGAGGGCGACCGGCCACACUGGGACUGAGACACGGCCCAGACUCCUACGGGAGGCAGCAGUGGGGAAUAUUGGGCAAUGGAGGAAACUCUGACCCAGCGACGCCGCGUGCGGGAUGAAGGCCUUCGGGUUGUAAACCGCUUUCAGUAGGGAAGAAGCGAAAGUGACGGUACCUACAGAAGAAGCACCGGCUAACUAUGUGCCAGCAGCCGCGGUAAUACAUAGGGUGCAAGCGUUGUCCGGAAUUAUUGGGCGUGAAGAGCUCGUAGGUGGUUUGAUACGUCGGGUGUGAAAUUCAGGGGCUCAACCCCUGACCUGCAUUCGAUACGGUCAAGCUAGAGUUUGGUAGGGGAGACUGGAAUUCCUGGUGUAGCGGUGGAAUGCGCAGAUAUCAGGAGGAACACCAAUGGCGAAGGCAGGUCUCUGGGCCAAUACUGACACUGAGGAGCGAGAGUCUGGGGAGCGAACAGGAUUAGAUACCCUGGUAGUCCAGACCGUAAACGGUGGGCACUAGUUGUGGGAACCUUCCACGGUUUCUGCGACGCAGCU